GUAGGUGGCAAGCGUUGUCCGGAAUUAUUGGGCGUAAAGCGCGCGCUGGCGGUUCUUUAAGUCUGAUGUGAAAGCCCACGGGCUCAACCGUGGAGGGUCAUUGGAAACUGGAGAACUUGAGUACAGAAGAGGAAAGCGGAAUUCCACGUGUAGCGGUGAAAUGCGUAGAGAUGUGGAGGAACACCAGUGGCGAAGGCGGCUUUCUGGUCUGUAACUGACGCUGAGGCGCGAAAGCGUGGGGAGCAAACAGGAUUAGAUACCCUGGUAGUCCACGCCGUAAACGAUGAGUGCUAAGUGUUAGGGGGUUUCCGCCCCUUAGUGCUGCAGCUAACGCAUUAAGCACUCCGCCUGGGGAGUACGGCCGCAAGGCUG
RNAcentral lists this ribosomal RNA (372 nucleotides) under uncultured organism. Its description in RNAcentral is "partial 16S ribosomal RNA". It matches the Rfam family "Bacterial small subunit ribosomal RNA", at positions 527 to 896 of the family's 1533-position model. The record is from RNAcentral.